UAUAUAUAUAUAUAUAUAUCUUUAUUAUUAAUAUUAACUAAAAAAAAUAUUUUAAAUAAUUUAUAUUAUUAAGUAUUAUCCUAUAAAAAUAUAUUAAUUAUAUACUAUUAGUAUUGUAAAAGAAAUAAAAAUAUUAUUAUAAAAUAAUUAAUAAUAUUUAUUACCUUUUGUAUCAGGGUUUAUUAAAUUUAAUAAAUAUAUUAAUUUAUUUCUCGAAAUAAGUUGAUCUAAAUAAUUAUAGUAAUUAAUGUAAAAUUAUUAUUAUUAAUAAUUAUUUAGUAGUGAUAAGUCAUUCAUAACUUAUAUAUCUAGUUAUUUUAUAAAUAAAUUUAAUUUAAUUAAAAUUAAUUUAUAUAUUUUUAAUUUUAAAUAUAUAUAGCAAUCUUAAUAAAAUUAUUAGGGAUUAACUUAAUAAUUAUUUUAAUAUAAAUAUAAUAUAAUAAUUAUAAUAUUAAUAAAAAUAAUAAUUUUUAUUUAUAAAUAAUUUUUAAUAAUUAAUAUUUAUAUAAUAUAAUUUAAUAUAUUUAUUUAAUUAAUUAUAAAAUUAUUAAUUUUAAUAAGAUAGAUUAAUUAAUAAUGAUAAAAUUAGUAAAAUUAACUUUAAUAUUGUAAUAAUUAAUAAAGAUUAUUUUAAGGAAUUAGGCAAAAAUUUUUAUUCACCUGUUUAGUAAAAACAUGGUUUAUUGAAUUUAAUAAUAAAUCAAUUCUGCUCAAUGAAUUUAUUUAAAUAGCUGCAGUAUUUUGACUGUACAAAGGUAGCAUAAUCAAUUGUCUUUUUAAUAAAGUCUAGAAUGAAAGAAAUAAUGAAAUAAAAACUGUCUCAAAAUAAAUAAAUUUUAAAUUUUAUUGUAAGUAAAAAUUCUUAUAUAUUUAUAAUAGACGAGAAGACCCUAUAGAAUUUUAUUAUUAAACUUAUUUAAAUUAUUUAAUUAAUAUAAAUUAAAUUAGUUUAAUAAUUAUAUUGGGGGGAUAAUAAAAUUUAAAAAAUUUUUAUAUAAUAAUUUUACUAAUAUGCUAGAAUAAUUUAACCAAUACUAUUGAAACUAAAUAAAUUACCUUAGGGAUAACAGCGUUAAAUUUUUAAAGAGUUCAUAUUGAUAAAAAUUUUUGCGACCUCGAUGUUGAAUUAAAAUUAAUAGUUAUUGUAGAUAAUAACUGUAUUUAGUCUGUUCGACUAUUAAAAUUUUACAUGAUUUGAGUUUAGAUCGGUGUAAGCCAGAUCGGUUUCUAUCUUUAUAUAUCCAUAAUAUUAUUGUACGAAAGGACUUAAUAUUAAUAAUAAUUAUACAAAAUUGAAUAAAAUUAAUA
This 1308-nucleotide ribosomal RNA is filed under the name Trichomalopsis sarcophagae. RNAcentral's name for it is "16S ribosomal RNA". Lineage: Eukaryota; Metazoa; Arthropoda; Insecta; Hymenoptera; Pteromalidae. The record is from RNAcentral.